This 254-nucleotide ribosomal RNA is filed under the name uncultured bacterium. Its description in RNAcentral is "partial 16S ribosomal RNA". It matches the Rfam family "Bacterial small subunit ribosomal RNA", at positions 524 to 776 of the family's 1533-position model. The record is from RNAcentral.
GACGGAGGGUGCAAACGUUGUUCGGAAUUACUGGGCGUAAAGAGCGUGUAGGCGGUCCGGCAAGUCGGAUGUGAAAUCCCUCGGCUCAACCGAGCGAACUGCAUUCGAUACUACCGGACUGGAGUUCGGGAGAGGGAAGUGGAAUUCCCGGUGUAGAGGUGAAAUUCGUAGAUAUCGGGAGGAACACCGGUGGCGAAGGCGGCUUCCUGGACCGAUACUGACGCUGAGACGCGAAAGCGUGGGGAGCAAACAGG